RNAcentral lists this long non-coding RNA (494 nucleotides) under Homo sapiens (human). RNAcentral's name for it is "partial glioblastoma multiforme-associated transcript 2". Lineage: Eukaryota; Metazoa; Chordata; Mammalia; Primates; Hominidae. The record is from RNAcentral.
CCCCGGUUUCUGCAAAGUGGAGCGGGGGUGGGGCGGGGUAGCGGAACUCAUGCGCUGGGCGUCAGAAACCCGGCAGGGGAAUGGGGUCCCAGAUUCCGGGCACGUGCACAUGGGUGAAGAAGCUGUUGAAAAUACAGCUACAAUCUUUUUCUGCUCUCCUCCCAACUCAUCUUGCCCCUCCCUACCUCUGAACAGUCGCCUUCCAACACAAGCAACAAUAAAGUUUAGUCUACGGUCCUCAGAGCUGCCGGAAGAGAAGAAUCAAUGGAUGAUAAAAUAACUAGACAAUGAUGGGUAGGAGUGAUGGAAGUUCACUGUAAGCUCCUAUAACCCCCCAUCACCAUCACCACAUGCCUAAUACAACCUGCAGACACACUUACUCGCAACAGACCUGCAAUCUGGGCUCUCUUUUCCUUCUUGAUGGAGGCCUCAAAACCUCAGCAGUUGUACCCAUUAAACUAAAAUGCUUUUUCCCUCUUAGUAAAAAAAAAAAA